GAUCGCCGGCUUUUCUGAAGUGUAAAAAGCUUCAGGUAAUAAGAGCCGGGUAAGACUGGUGCCAGCCGCCGCGGUAACACCAGCGGCCCAAGUGGUGGCCGAUUUUAUUGGGCUAAAGCGUCCGUAGCCGGACCGACGGGUCCUUUGUGAAAUCGGACGGCUUAACCGUUCGACUUGCAAGGGAAACUGUCGGCCUUGGGGUCGGUAGGCGCCGAGGGUACUCCAGGGGUAGCGGUGAAAUGCUAUAAUCCCCGGGGGACCGCCGGUGGCGAAAGCGCUCGGCGAGGCCGAACCUGACGGUGAGGGACGAAGGCCAGGGGAGCAAACCGGAUUAGAUACCCGGGUAGUCCUGGCUGUAAAGGAUGUGGGCCAGGUGCCGGAUGUUCCUCGAGAGCAUUCGGUGCCGAAGGGAAGCCGUUAAGCCCACCGCCUGGGAAGUACGGCCGCAAGGCUGAAACUUAAAGAAAUUGGCGGGGGAGCACCACAAGGGGUGGAGCCUGCGGUUUAAUUGGAUUCAACGCCGGACAACUCACCGGGGGCGACGGCAGAGUGAAGGCCAAGUUGACGACUUUGCCGGACUCGCCGAGAGGUGGUGCAUGGCCGCCGUCAGCUCGUAUCGUGAGACGUCCUGUCAAGUCAGGUAACGAGCGAGACCCUCGCCCUUAGUUGCCAUCGGAUUCCAUUUGGAAUGCCGGGCACUCUAGGGGGACCGCUGCCGACAAGGCAGAGGAGGGAGAGGGCGACGGUAGGUCCGUAUGCCCCGAAUCCCCCGGGCAACACGCGGGCUACAAUGCGUAGGGCAGAGGGCUUGCGACCCCGAAAGGGGAAGCUAAUCCCUAAACCUACGCCUAGUUCGGAUCGAGGGCUGCAACCCGCCCUCGUGAAGCUGGAAUCCCUAGUAAUCGCGUGUCAUUAUCGCGCGGUGAAUGCGUCCCUGCUCCUUGCACACACCGCCCGUCAAGCCAUCCGAGUGGGAUUUGGAUGAGGCUCGCUCAUCCCGAGUGAGUCAUCC
Molecule: ribosomal RNA, 1012 nt
Filed under: uncultured archaeon
Lineage: Archaea
Description: bacterial SSU rRNA
Rfam family: Archaeal small subunit ribosomal RNA
Source: RNAcentral